Molecule: ribosomal RNA, 492 nt
Filed under: uncultured bacterium
Lineage: Bacteria
Description: partial 16S ribosomal RNA
Rfam family: Bacterial small subunit ribosomal RNA
Source: RNAcentral
AGGGAAAGAGGGAGGGAGGAAGAACACAUGUAAGUCGAACGGCAGCACAGUAAGAGCUUGUUCUUAAGGGUGGAGAGUGGAGGAUGGGUGAGGCAUAGAUAGGAAUUUACUUUUUAGUGGGGGAUAAAGUAGGGAAACUUACGCUAAUACCGCAUACGACCUACGGGUGAAAGCAGGGGAUCUUCACACCUUUCGCGACUGAAUGAGCCGAUGCCGGAUUAGCUAGUUGGCUGGGUAAAGACCCACCAAGGAGAGGAGUCGUAGCUGGUCUGAGAGGAUGAUCGGCCACACUGGAACUGAGACACGGUCCAGACUCCUACGGGAGGCAGCAGUGGGGAAUAUUGGACAAUGGGCGAAAGCCUGAUCCAGCCAUACCGCGUGGGUGAAGAAGGCCUUCGGGUUGUAAAGCCCUUUUAUUAAGAAAGAAAAGCAGCAGGUUAAUACCCCGCUGUUCUGACGGUACCCAAAGAAUAAGCACCGGCUCCCUUCGUU